RNAcentral lists this ribosomal RNA (497 nucleotides) under uncultured bacterium. RNAcentral's name for it is "partial 16S ribosomal RNA". It matches the Rfam family "Bacterial small subunit ribosomal RNA", at positions 28 to 507 of the family's 1533-position model. The record is from RNAcentral.
GAUGAACGCUGGCGGCGUGCCUAAUACAUGCCAGUCGAGCGAACGGACGAGAAGCUUGCUUCUCUGAUGUUAGCGGCGGACGGGUGAGUAACACGUGGAUAACCUACCUAUAAGACUGGGAUAACUUCGGGAAACCGGAGCUAAUACCGGAUGAUAUUUUGAACCGCAUGGUUCAAAAGUGAAAGACGGUCUUGCUGUCACUUAUAGAUGGAUCCGCGCUGCAUUAGCUAGUUGGUAAGGUAACGGCUUACCAAGGCAACGAUGCAUAGCCGACCUGAGAGGGUGAUCGGCCACACUGGAACUGAGACACGGUCCAGACUCCUACGGGAGGCAGCAGUAGGGAAUCUUCCGCAAUGGGCGAAAGCCUGACGGAGCAACGCCGCGUGAGUGAUGAAGGUCUUCGGAUCGUAAAACUCUGUUAUUAGGGAGGAACAUAUGUGUAAGUAACUGUGCACAUCUUGACGGUACCUAAUCAGAAAGCCACGGCUAACUACGUG